AGGCCACAACAGUGAGAGGCCCACGUACCUCAAAAAAAAAAAAAAAAUCAGGUGAGGAGAUUGCGGCCAGAGACGUGAAGGAACCUGUUCAAGGAAGGUCACACCGCUCACAGGACAGGAACUCUGCUUCUGUUGUUCUUUCUCCUGCACUGGGCUUUGAUAACCUUUCCCUGCAUUAAUUAACCAACAUUACAACCUGGGAGAGACACCAGCAACUGAGCCUGUGCUGUGUUAAAUGCUGCAGAAGCACCGUCACAUAAAUCCUCACAGCAAGUCUAAGAUUAAGUAUGACUGGUCCAUAAGCCCUCAUCCUAAGCUCUGAAGGCAGUGUCUCAGAAUUCAGAAAUGUUCACAUUUUAGAAAGGUAACAGGGUGCAUUUAUCAUACAUUGUGUAAAAACCCCACUAGAGCCUGGAGAAGUGCCUAAACACAGUAACGUUCCUGCAACAAAUGUGUAAGAUCCACGGUAAGCUGGACAAAUCCUAUAAAGUGUCUCAUGGCAGCUCAAAGCAGGUUUAUCAACCAAUUGAGUACAAAAAUCCCUUGUUUCUCAGAGCUCUGAGACUUCGGAUCUGUUUUCUUUGCUCCCAUUGGGCAGAUCAGGAAAACGAGGUUGAGAGCUUAAGCUGGGGUGGGGAUGGGCGCUGAGAAUCCUGGCAGCCUGAUUCCGGAGCCCACCUCCUGCCCACCACUGGGACUGCUGCUCUAAUAGUAGUGGGUAGAAAGCCCGCAAAACAACAAAAAGCUCUAGGGCAAUGUUUCAAACACACACAACUCUAAUCUGCACUCCUCCUUUCCCUACCUUUGAUAAUUUUUGCUGAAAGCAGCUAAUUAACUGUGUUAUCAGAAAUUUCUGUGUGGCUGGCAGUGGGGAAAGAAAUGCUCAACUUUUCUCACGCUGAGGAUCUGGUGACGUCACAUGCCACAAGUCACAUCAAGGACCACCAUGCUGCCUCCUGCCGAGGCCUCACCGAGGGCAUCAGAGGCUCGUGUGAACAGACGAACUAAAAAAAGUGUGUCUGAGAACACGGCCAGCGGUCCUCCCGACCGUCACGUGUGGAUGCACCGGGCAAACACACACAGGCUACUUAUAUCUCUGCCGUGUCCACCUGAGCCGCACGGCAGCCCAUUCUACAGAAGCUCAGCAGCUGCACAGCCUGAGCUUCUGCAGAACGGGAGACGGGAUCCACAAACAGUCCUCCCAGUUCUGCAGGCCAUGCUCUCCCCCUUCUGUCCUGGGCUUUGGAAGCAAAGCAGUAAGAUUCCCAGGUCCACUCUUGCUUCCUCAUUCUUCCCCUUCAUCAUCUUCCCCUACAGACCCAAAGGAGCCCCAAGGGAAAGAAAGCCCUCCUUAGGAGCACCAAGCCAGAGGGAGGUGGCAGAGGGUCGUACCGGGACCCUCACGUCUGUUUGCAGGUUUGGCCUCAGUUUUAAAGGAAAAGCAGGGAGAAUGGCCAGGACAGGUGCUUCAAGCUCUCUGCCUUCUCAGUGACCGUGUCCCUGGGACUGCUUUCUAGAGAACCAGACAAGUAAAAGAUGGUACAAAAGUGUAAGCGUCUCCUCCUGUCUGUGGCUACAGCCAUGUCAGCUCUGUUUCCCUGGAGAAAAGCAGCUCGCCUCAGACUCCUAACUUCUCAGAGGAAGGCCAUUUAAAGCAGCUGCAUGAACACUCUUCUGGAGAAAAAUGGCCCCUUUUAAGGAGCCAAGGCUACUGUAGGCAAUUUUCUUUAAGUAUAUAAGGGUUCCCUGCUCAAUAUGAGAAAUACAGCUUAUUCCACUGUGGCAGGAGGAAAAGUUAGACCAGUCAACGGCACCAACACGGCCCUCUCGGGGAGGCUCUGUAGUUCAAAACCAUCGUGGGGGGAAUUCCCUGGUGGUUCAGUGGUUAGGACUCUGUGCUUUCACUGCCGAGGGCCCGGGUUCAAUCCGUUGUCGGGGAGCUAAGAUCCCGCAAGCCUCAUGGCUUGGCCAGAAAAAAAAAAAAAAAAAAAAGCAAGGCCCAGAGCGAGUUUCCAAGGCCUGUCGAGCUUUGGGGGAAGCACGAUGCUAACACAGCUUGAAGCCUGGUGUUCUCGCCGGCAGUUCUAGGGACAACUGGGUAAGAAGGCUGAAUGGAAGAAUGGGCCCCACCCCUGUUGUACGCUGAUUUCCUCUGCUGACCUUAUCACCUGGAGAGAUGGGCGUUGGGGAUCACUAGCCUUGUGACUGGAGGAGCAGCUGGUUUUGCUAAGGAGUGGGUGGCUGGUGCUCUUGCCAUUUGGUGGGAAGGGUCAGGGAUGCUAACUUGCCUGUUAGGAAAGGGCAGUCCUGCACAUCCAAGAACUGUCCUCCCCAAAUGCCCGAGUGGUCAGGUGAGACCUGUUCGGGCCCCUGUGGGUCUGGCUGAAUUCUUCUCACCCUUCUGUCCUCUCUAGUGGCUUGCCUCCUUGCCUUUCCUCAACCUCUAUCAGCAGGCCCCUGUCUCAGGGCCUUUGCACCUGCUCUUUCCUCACUCUCAACUCUACUCAGGUCUCUGCUCAAAUGUCACCUCAGAAAGGACUUUGUUCAUCACUCUACCUGAAACAGCCCCUGGCCCCUCUAUCCCUUGACCUAGUUUUUCCUUAUCAAACCUUCCACUACCUAACUUUAUAUUAAGUGUAUUUAUCUAUUUUCUGUCUCUCUACAAGCUUUACAAUGAGUAUCUUGUCUAUUUUACUCAGCCUUAUAUCCCUAGCACUAGAACAGUGCCUGACACAUAGUAAGUGCUCAAUAAGUAUUUGUCUCACAUAUGAUUAAGGUUCUGAGAGCUAGAGGGAACCUGGCCACCCAAGGGCAGCCCAGAUCACAUGGAAGGGAGGCCGC
Molecule: long non-coding RNA, 2841 nt
Organism: Aethalodelphis obliquidens (Pacific white-sided dolphin)
Lineage: Eukaryota; Metazoa; Chordata; Mammalia; Artiodactyla; Delphinidae
Exons: 3
Source: RefSeq, a predicted model, not a curated record